Molecule: non-coding RNA, 27 nt
Filed under: Mus musculus (house mouse)
Lineage: Eukaryota; Metazoa; Chordata; Mammalia; Rodentia; Muridae
Source: RNAcentral
UCAAAUGGUUCAGGAGGCAGCAAGGUC